UCUGGCUGUGGCCAUGUGGAGACAUGCCCCCCCCCACCUCCGCCGCUGGCCUCAGUGGCCACAGCCUGCAGGCCUGGGGUUUCGCCCCAGCUCCGAGGGGACAGGCAGCCUCAGCAAACCAAUCCCCAGAUGUGAGAGGGGACCUCGGGCAGAAGCAGACUCAGCGGUGCUCGGCCGCCUUGGGCAGAGCCCAGCACCACACUUAGCUGUGAAGUCACAGCUGCGUGGGCCUUGUAAUGGGAGAGUGAGGACAAAGGAGAGCGCGCCGCAGGUCUGCGCAGCCGCGGGUCCCCCAGCCUCCAGUGCCGCCGGAGCUGCCUCCCCAGAGCUGCCUCCGGCCUCCUCCAGCCGGGACCCCAGUGGCCUCCAUCACACCUCACUCGCUACCUGUGGGGGCCGGAGCUGGUUUCAUGCCGAAAGCCAGCCGCAUGUGUUAGCUUCGACGAGCUUAAAGAGCAUAAAGCUACGAUGAAACUUUAGAAAAUGCCGCAUUGGCCUGAAGCUGACCAGUUAGGAGUGGGGGCGGCAGCAGAGACCCCGCACCCAGGCUGCGGGCUAGGGGCGGCUGGGCCGGCGCAGCGCCACUCUGCCCUCGUCCAGCCCAGGUCUGCGGGCAGCACUGGGGAGCCCAGUCAUGCUUCAGGCCCGCGGCCCGCAGUCAGGCAGUGAAGGCGGCAUCGCUUUGUGUUGCAGAAGAUGCCUCAGAGCAGCGUCCGGUCCGCAGAGCAAGGACACGCCCCCGGGCUGUGACACCACCCACGCGGACAGUCCGGCGCUGGGCUCGGCAUGUGGAUAGCGGCUGGAGAGCCCCAAACGCAGGAGUGGCUGGGGACGGGCGCGCGCCCGGCUAAGCAGUCGCGCACACACAAACCGAGCAGGAGGCGACAGACAGCCCCGGCAGGACGUGCUCCGGGCACAGGCCCCAUUUCCAGCUGCUCCAUUGGCGGCGUGCAGGCCUACCUCAAACAUGCACGUUUCCAAGCUGACCCACGACAGAGGGAGUGUGGCCCAGUCAUGGCCAGUGAGCGGCCCCCUGAGCCCCUGAACACCACGGGGUGGGGUAAGGCCCAGCCAUGAGCAGUGACCACGGUUCUGACGAGCGGCCUGUGGAGUUCCUGCAGCGCCCACGUCCCACGCCAGACGCCAGGUCAGGACCAGCCGGGAUAGAGCUGCAUGUGGAGCUGCCUCUCCUUCCGCGCCAGCUCGUAGUACUUCGCCUGCUCUUCCCGGGACAGGGCGUGCCACUGCGGGGCAAGCGACAGGUCACACGCGCGUGGAGGCCCCGAGCUGGACUCCCCUUCGCUCUCCCGUUCUCCACUACCAGGAGACAGGCGCCCGCUGCCGCCCACCGCAGGCCCAGCCCGGCCGUCCAGGCGUACCUCCCACACACAGCAGCAGUGGCGAGCGUGGGGCUGGGGGUGCAGCUCGCGCACUGCAAACUCCAGCGCCACCGGGCGGCUCCAAAGCCACAUCUCUCUCCUUGGCAUCUGUCUGCCGCACGCGCCUGGCCUCGGGCACCCCCAGCCAGCAGACCCUCCCAGAGAGCUGCGUGGCCGCCAGCCCCAGGGGGCUCCCCGUCUUCCUGCGGAGUCUCACCCUGUGUUCUGCCUGCUGAUUCUUACUCUGUUCUUGUGUAAAAAGGUCAAGAAAAACCCAAAGGGAGAGGAAGUCGCAUCUGGGUCCUCGUGGACCUGGGCCCCACCCCGAGUCCCUGCGCUGGAGAGGUCGGCCCGACUGACAGGUGCAGACACAUAGGCGGGCCCAGGCCCAGCCAAGGGAUGGUCGUUUUAUUCACAGACCGAACAGUUAGCUGGGGCCCAGGCCAAACCUGGCUCCCCCAACCCGGCCCUGGUCCUAGAGAUGAGGGUCAGCACCGGAGCUGAGGAAGGUGAAUAAACAAACGUGGCUGACAACAACAACAGAGGUGAGAGGAAGGGAGACUUCCACGUUUUGUUCCCCUCGCCUCUCGGUACACAGUUUGUGUCAUCACCACAGCCUUGGAGAGGUGCCUGUGUCUGCCGCACAGCGACCCAGGGAGGUGCUGAGCUGACCACAGGCAGGAGCCAGCCCCAGCCUCUGACAUUUCUGAUGAUCAACCACUCUGUGCAAGAUCAUUUACCAGAGGGAAGCAGCAGGUGACGUGACGGUCAGUCUCGCGUGCCAACCAGAAAGCCGCCCUCCCCACCAGAGUUCCCGAGACACAAUCAACACGGCUGUAACUUCCGUCAACAACAGAAAGAGGCAACACUGCUCAAUUUAAAAGCCAGGAGCUUCACAGACCCAGCGAGGACGCUCCUGCCAGCAGCCGGCCAUGGAAGGACAGAAAGCCUGAUGCCAUCAGAGCUCUCAAAGCCCUGGAAGCAGACACAGGCACUGAUCACGCCAGACAGCCUGCCGCCCACCAUCUCGCCGCCGGAUGGAUGCUGACCUGUGCUAGGUGUAACAGACACGCUCAAACGCGGCUCCCUGCUGCUGCCGAGAGACCUGCCUCGUCCUCUGGAUGGUCUCCUGCACUCGACUGGGCAGGACGUCGCCAUCAACUUAGCAUCAAGUAAGAUGAACCGUUUCUAGAAUGGUCAUGUAUCCGCAGCACAAUGUAAUCAGAAAGAGGUCAGAACUUUUCUACUCACACCACUGCAAUCCUGAGAAAAGCCCCUGAAAACACAGACCAGACCCUGGCUGGAGGCCAGCUGGAGCCUGCUGCCGGGCGCCGACAGAGGGCGGCGGGGCACUCAGCGUCUCCUGACUCCGUCACUGUCAUCGCACAAAUCAGAUGGUGACUGGAGCCAAAUGGACUCGUAAGCAUGUCAACUCUUUUACCUCAGUCUUCCAGAA
Molecule: long non-coding RNA, 2835 nt
Organism: Condylura cristata (star-nosed mole)
Lineage: Eukaryota; Metazoa; Chordata; Mammalia; Eulipotyphla; Talpidae
Exons: 6
Source: RefSeq, a predicted model, not a curated record